Molecule: ribosomal RNA, 1084 nt
Filed under: Corynebacterium sp. HMSC074C03
Lineage: Bacteria; Bacillati; Actinomycetota; Actinomycetes; Mycobacteriales; Corynebacteriaceae
Description: bacterial LSU rRNA
Rfam family: Bacterial large subunit ribosomal RNA
Source: RNAcentral
UUUUUUGGGGUGAUGGCGUGCCUUUUGAAGAAUGAGCCUGCGAGUCAGCGGCAUGUCGCGAGGUUAACCCGUUUGGUGGGGUAGUCGUAGCGAAAGCGAAUACUAACUAGUGUGUUUUUAGUGGCAUGUCCUGGACCCGAAGCGGGGUGAUCUACCCAUGGCCAGUGUGAAGCAGAGGUAAGACUCUGUGGAGGCGCGAACCCACUUAGGUUGAAAACUGAGGGGAUGAGUUGUGGGUAGGGGUGAAAGGCCAAUCAAACUCCGUGAUAGCUGGUUCUCCCCGAAAUGCAUUUAGGUGCAGCGUCGUGUGUUUCCUCCUGGAGGUAGAGCUACUGGUUGGUUUAGCGGGACUAUCAUCUUAGCGACAUCAGCCAAACUCCGAAUGCCAGGUUAGGUCAGAGCACGGCAGUGAGACUGCGGGGGAUAAGCUUCGUAGUCGAGAGGGAAACAGCCCAGAUCGCCGGCUAAGGCCCCUAAGGGUGUGCUAAGUGGAAAAGGAUGUGGGAUCGCGAAGACAACCAGGAGGUUGGCUUAGAAGCAGCCAUCCUUGAAAGAGUGCGUAAUAGCUCACUGGUCGAGUGGUUCUGCGCCGACAAUGUAGUGGGGCUCAAGUACACCGCCGAAGCCGCGGCAAUCACCAUUUUGUGGUGGUUGGGUAGGGGAGCGUCGCGUGACUGCUGUGAAGCGCUGGGGUAACCCUAGUGUGGAGUGUGCGCGAGUGAGAAUGCAGGCAUGAGUAGCGAAUGAGGAGUGGAAAACUCCUCCGCCGAAUGACUAAGGGUUCCUGGGCCAGGUUAAUCCUCCCAGGGUGAGUCGGGACCUAAGGCGAGGCCGACAGGCGUAGUCGAUGGAUAACGGGUUGAUAUUCCCGUACCCGUGUGUCCGCGCCCAUGGUGAAUCAGGGAUACUAACCCACCUGAACACGCGCCUUGUGCCAGCCUUUUAGGUUGGUUGGUGUGUGUGAUGCUGGGGACCUGAACUGGUAGUAGCCAAGUGAUGGGGUGACGCAGGAAGGUAGCCGUGCCACGUGAUGGAUAUCGUGGUGUAAGCGUGUGGCCCGUGUUCUAGGUAAAUCCGGAGCACA